AUGAAAUCUCUUGUGGCCAUUUUAUUCUUAUUGGCCUUCUUCAUCUCUGCAUCAGAUGUUUGUGCUGAAGGAGUAUUAUAUUGUAAAAAAGAUCAAGAUUGUAAUUCGAAUUGUCAAUAUCCUAAUCUAGGACGGUGUCUUAAGGGAAGAUGUUGGUGUUUUACUCCACCAUCUUCUUCUAAUAAGAGACCUACUCAAAUACUCUAA
This 207-nucleotide long non-coding RNA is filed under the name Vicia faba (fava bean). The record is from RNAcentral. Lineage: Eukaryota; Viridiplantae; Streptophyta; Magnoliopsida; Fabales; Fabaceae.